UUUGACCUCCUGAGUUGAAUGGUACUAGUUUUAGAACGGGAAACCUUAGAAACGACGUUUAAAACCCGAGGUCCGAUUUGAGUACUGUUCAUGCAUUCGUGAUGUGUUGAUUUUCAGGGAAUUCUAAGCUUAUAGUGAGCUUAGUGAGGUCCUAAGGAAGCUCGGAGUACUUAGUUUGAAGGUUUUGGACGUCGGGAUCGUUGAGUUCGAAGUUGGCCGGUUUUCUUGGAAUUUCUCCGGUGAGAUUUCGUAGUUUUAGAGCCUUAAAGUAGUGUAACAUGAUUCUACAUGCUUAGGGCUUCAUUUUGAUAUAAAACACAUGAAAAAUGGUUGAGAAAUGACGGAGAACAAGGAGAUUGAAAAAUCUCCAGUUUUCCGGCCAUCGGAAAAACCAGUCCGGCGAGCCCAAGGUAGGAGACACGCGUGGGGGCGCGUGACAAGCCCAAAAAUUAUUUUAAAAAUAUGCCGACGUUCGUGACGUCGAGUAGGUCACUAUGGUAUAUUCAUAUACCCAAAUUGAGCAUCGUAUGAGAAAUUAUUACGAAUUGUCGGUUAUGUGCUUUAAAUAACGUUGUUUUAGUUGUUUCGCAUAUAAGUGAUACCUAUCCUGAGGACGAGCGCAUCCAGGGACGUCACGGGGGUUACGACCCUUCGAUUUAUCAGUGAGUGGGCAGUAUUUUCUGUAUUUACCUAUAUACUAUUGAUUUUCCCAUAAAUUGAAUUUAAAUGAAAGUAUGUUUUAAAAUGCCAUGCAUGCAUAUUGUGAUUUAUAUGAAUUGAUAAUUGAUACAUAUAUAUAUGUGAUUGGUGCUGUGGACGCACAAGUGAGUAUCAGGUGGGUUUUAUGUUAUUCAUGUGAAUCAUUGAUGAUGUGAAUUGUGUUGAGAGCUCAUAACCUGCACCUCUAGUGUUAGUGUUUAUAUUAUUCACCCGUACCGCACGCCACCUUGGAUCCAAGUAGGUGCAUGUCGUACAGACCAUGAGAGGGUUCCGACAUGCUAGUCGUACAGAUCACUAGAGGUGGUUCCGACUGGUAGGUGACCUUAGAUUAUGUGCACAUAUGAUUGAUGAGAGAAGCACUAGAGCGUAUUAUUACACCAUUCUUGUCGUACAGACUACUUCAAGUAGUUCCAACUUAUGUGCAGAGUAGCGUCGUAUAGGUAAUCGUGGUGACUCCGGUUGGAUUGGAUAUUGAGUUAUAGAAUUAACAGUACAGAACCAACUGCAGGGUCUCCGGUUGAUUCAUUAUAUCACACCUGUUAUAUUGAUGCAUCCAUAUUCUGUUUUUGGCACUAUUGCAUGGCAUACUUGCUGGAAUUUGAUAAAGAUUGAUGUUUUGAGAGAUAUGAACAAAUAUUAUGCUAUUAUGUUAUUUUCUGGGAAAGUAUACAGGUUUUACAGUGAGGGGUUAAAAAUGUUUUAAAUGAAAUGUUUUGGAAAACUUUGGUUUUACUGACCCGCUCAAUUUUGUUUUGCGCCCCUCCAGGUUCUAGAUAGCAGUGUUGGUGGCCCACGAGGAUUCCCACGGCGUACUGACAAACUACAUAAAUGUAGGACUCACCUGCGGGUGUUGUAACUUAGUUAUGGUCCUGCUUGACUGCACCUAG
Molecule: long non-coding RNA, 1607 nt
Filed under: Malus domestica (apple)
Lineage: Eukaryota; Viridiplantae; Streptophyta; Magnoliopsida; Rosales; Rosaceae
Description: long non-coding RNA (MDOM_LNC006692)
Source: RNAcentral